GCGUGAGGGAUGAAGGCCUUUGGGUUGUAAACCUCUUUUCUCAGGCAAGAACACAAUGACGGUACCUGAGGAAUAAGCCUCGGCUAACUCCGUGCCAGCAGGCGCGGUAAGACGGAGGAGGCAAGCGUUAUCCGGAAUUAUUGGGCGUAAAGCGUCCGCAGGUGGCUUUCCAAGUCUGCUGUCAAAGCCGAGGCUUAACCUCGGAUCGGCGGUGGAAACUGGAUCGCUAGAGUACGUCAGGGGUAGGGGGAAUUCCCGGUGAAGCGGUGAAAUGCGCAGAUAUCGGGAAGAACACCAGCGACGAAAGUGCGCUACUGGGACGUUACUGACACUCAUGGACGAAAGCUAGGGGAGCGAAAGGGAUUAGAUACCCCUGUAGUCCUUGCCGUAAACGAUGGACACUAGGUGUUGCUGGUAUCCACUC
This 424-nucleotide ribosomal RNA is filed under the name uncultured cyanobacterium. RNAcentral's name for it is "bacterial SSU rRNA". It matches the Rfam family "Bacterial small subunit ribosomal RNA", at positions 399 to 838 of the family's 1533-position model. The record is from RNAcentral. Lineage: Bacteria; Bacillati; Cyanobacteriota.